Molecule: ribosomal RNA, 465 nt
Filed under: Vreelandella stevensii
Lineage: Bacteria; Pseudomonadati; Pseudomonadota; Gammaproteobacteria; Oceanospirillales; Halomonadaceae
Description: partial 16S ribosomal RNA
Rfam family: Bacterial small subunit ribosomal RNA
Source: RNAcentral
CCUACGGGAGGCUGCAGUGGGGAAUAUUGGACAAUGGGGGCAACCCUGAUCCAGCCAUGCCGCGUGUGUGAAGAAGGCCCUCGGGUUGUAAAGCACUUUCAGUGAGGAAGAACGCCUGGUGGUUAAUACCCAUCAGGAAAGACAUCACUCACAGAAGAAGCACCGGCUAACUCCGUGCCAGCAGCCGCGGUAAUACGGAGGGUGCGAGCGUUAAGCGGAAUUACUGGGCGUAAAGCGCGCGUAGGUGGCUUGAUAAGCCGGUUGUGAAAGCCCCGGGCUCAACCUGGGAACGGCAUCCGGAACUGUCAAGCUAGAGUGCAGGAGAGGAAGGUAGAAUUCCCGGUGUAGCGGUGAAAUGCGUAGAGAUCGGGAGGAAUACCAGUGGCGAAGGCGGCCUUCUGGACUGACACUGACACUGAGGUGCGAAAGCGUGGGUAGCAAACAGGAUUAGAUACCCCAGUAGUC